UUCCAUACUAAAAGAAGCUAUCCCAGACUA
Molecule: non-coding RNA, 30 nt
Filed under: Mus musculus (house mouse)
Lineage: Eukaryota; Metazoa; Chordata; Mammalia; Rodentia; Muridae
Source: RNAcentral